Molecule: ribosomal RNA, 218 nt
Filed under: uncultured bacterium
Lineage: Bacteria
Description: partial 16S ribosomal RNA
Rfam family: Bacterial small subunit ribosomal RNA
Source: RNAcentral
CCGUAGCCUGGUAGCGGGGGGUAACUAUUGGAAACGAAUAGCUAAUACCGCAUAAUAUUAAUUAUUUGCAUGAUAAUUGAUUGAAAGAUGCAACUGCAUCACUACCAGAUGGACCUGCGUUGUAUUAGCUAGUAGGUGAGGUAACGGCUCACCUAGGCGACGAUACAUAGCCGACCUGAGAGGGUGAUCGGCCACACUGGGACUGAGACACGGCCCAG